UUAUAGUGGGGGAGUAGCCUUUCGAAAGGAAGAUUAAUACCGCAUAAGAUUGUAGUAUCGCAUGAUAUAGCAAUUAAAGGAGCAAUUCGCUAUAAGAUGGACCCGCGUCGCAUUAGCUAGUUGGUGAGGUAAUGGCUCACCAAGGCGACGAUGCGUAGCCGACCUGAGAGGGUGAUCGGCCACACUGGGACUGAGACACGACCCAGACUCCUACGGGAGGCAGCAUG
This 227-nucleotide ribosomal RNA is filed under the name uncultured bacterium. Its description in RNAcentral is "partial 16S ribosomal RNA". It matches the Rfam family "Bacterial small subunit ribosomal RNA", at positions 131 to 353 of the family's 1533-position model. The record is from RNAcentral.